Molecule: long non-coding RNA, 1944 nt
Organism: Gigantopelta aegis
Lineage: Eukaryota; Metazoa; Mollusca; Gastropoda; Neomphalida; Peltospiridae
Exons: 2
Source: RefSeq, a predicted model, not a curated record
CUUACACCUACCCAUUGAGCCCUUAAGAACUCGCUCUGGGUGGGAGCCGGUACCGGGCUGCGAACCCUGUACCUAUCAGUCUUAUGUCCGAUGGCUUAACCACGACGCCACCGAGGCCGGUAGAUUGUUUCAUUAGCAAGGACUCUUUUUACGUCCAUUUUCCCACAGAUUGUCGUGGGGUACAGGCUUGGUUAAAAAGGUUAUAAGCACCACACUAUCAAUUGUAGGGUCGUUACUUGUAGUAAUUUAAUAUAGUCCGGUUUAGGAAAUAAAUGUAGUUCCUCAUAAAAAAAAUAAAACCUAAUACAAAAUUGUGAUAUGUCUUUUAAAAUUCUUCUCUGAUGAUUACAAGUUGGUUGACCGCUGUUUUAUUUAAAUAAUCCAUAAAGUCACUUGCUAUAUUUAGUACUAACUGAUAACAACUAUGCAAGUGGUUUACUCCCACAUGGGGCGGUGCUAACUGAACAUUUUUGUUGUAAGUACUAAUGAAUUAUUGUAUUGAACUGCAUAAAGUAAUUAAUGGUUGUGUGCAACCUUUUUCCAAGUCGGAAACGUCUUACAACAGUAAUUGUAGAAGGUAAAGCCAUCGGACUUGAGGCUGGUAGCUAUAGAUACUGGGUUCAGAUAACGGUACCGUUAUGAGUUUAAUGCGUAGAUUUAAGGUCACUUCGCCGACAAUUCAGAUAGCUACUAAGUCCCCCGUGCUGGUUUUUGUUGUUGUUGUUGUUGUUGUUGUUGUUGUUGUUGUUUUUUGUUUUUUGGGGGGGAGGGGAUAUUGUACUCUAUACUGGUUUCAAACUAUAUUGUGCCAUUCUAACAACUGUAGAUACAUGAUACAUGGAUCAUUAUGUAUAUAUAUUUAUUCAACAUGGAUAAAUUACACUAUCACAUGCAGUAUCUCAAAUCGUGCACCAUGGUUCAAGCCUGGAUCAUGACAUGAUUGACAAUUUGAUGAAACCCCCCACAAAAUCAUUAGUCCCCUAACCUCCCAACCGAAGGGAACUUUAGAUUUCGUCCCCGUCUUUCGGUCUAUCUGUCCGUCUAAAUCGUAGAUAGUUUUCUGGAUUUUGAGCAGACAUUUUGUGUACAGCUUUAUCAUGUACUUAGUAACUACAUUAGAUCAAGUUUGACUUUCAUGGCAGUUUACUUAUUUUUCACGCAGUUAUGGCCCUUGAACUUAGGAGAUACGAAAAAUUGUUCGGCUCGGUAGAGGUACAUGAGAGUACUUUAGCAGUACUCUCACAAUGCUUGUGUAGCUGUGUUUAUGUUUUGCAUCAGUAAAACAUGUCAUAGUAUUUCACUGAACUUAUCUUCGUGCUUAUAUCCAAUUACGGUUCAAGCACGCUGUCCUGGGCAAACACCUCAGCUAUACGAGCUGUCUGUCCAGGACAGUGGGUUAGUUGUUAGUUGGUUAGUGGUUUGUGAGAGAGAAGAGGGUGUAUUGGCCUUAUAUUUAGCCAAGCACGUUGCCCUGGACACGCACCUCAGCUAGUAGUUAGUGAGAGAGAAGAGGGUGUAUUGGCCUUAUACUUAGCCAAGCACGUUGCCCUGGACACGCACCUCAGCUAGUGGUUAGUAAGAGAGAAGAGGGUGUAGUGAAGCCGAUGCUGAAUCUUUGAUACAAUUCAUAAGAAUUACGAUUUAGAAAUCAUGUGUAAAACAUAUUGGUUAUUUGGAUCUGGGUAACCCAAUUUCAUAUUUUAUCCAGAUGAUAUUUUUUAUUUGACCGAUCAGAGCUUGUCCGUUACAAAUCAGUCACCAUCUCCAGACAAACUAUAUUAUAGAAGCAGGUAAUUACGUUUAGUAUUAACAAUUUUACAGACAAGUAUUGUUAUAUUCCUGUUGUAACUUUCAUCUCAGUUGCAUGAUGAUAUAUUUUUUGCAGAUGUACAUAUUUAGAACUAUAAUGUACUAUAUUUGUCCAUACUGUAGUUGUAAAUAAAA